UACGUAGGGAGCAAGCGUUGUCCGGAAUCAUUGGGCGUAAAGAGCGCGUAGGCGGUCCGGUAAGUCGGUUGUGAAAACUGGGGGCUCAACCCUCAGAGGCCGACCGAUACUGUCGGGCUAGAGUCCGGAAGAGGCGAGUGGAAUUCCUGGUGUAGCGGUGAAAUGCGCAGAUAUCGGGAGGAACACCAGUGGCGAAGGCGACUACCUGGCCUGUUCUUGACGCUGAGGCGCGAAAGCUAGGGGAGCAAACGGG
RNAcentral lists this ribosomal RNA (253 nucleotides) under uncultured bacterium. RNAcentral's name for it is "partial 16S ribosomal RNA". It matches the Rfam family "Bacterial small subunit ribosomal RNA", at positions 524 to 776 of the family's 1533-position model. The record is from RNAcentral.